UCCGUAGGUGAACCUGCGGAAGGAUCAUUAUUGAAAUAAAACUCAGGCAGGGGGGAGUGUGGUUGUAGCUGGCCCCCUAAUAAGGGCAUGUGCACACUGUCUCUUUCUCUUGUUUGUUUUUUCAUUCUUUCCACUUGUGCACUGCUUGUAGGCAGCCUGGCAUUGUUCGGGUUGUCUAUGAUUUUAUUUUACAUACAUGAAUCAUUGUUGUACAGAAUGUGAUAAAAAAAUAAUAAUACAACUUUCAACAACGGAUCUCUUGGCUCUCGCAUCGAUGAAGAACGCAGCGAAAUGCGAUAAGUAAUGUGAAUUGCAGAAUUCAGUGAAUCAUCGAAUCUUUGAACGCAUCUUGCGCUCCUUGGUAUUCCGAGGAGCAUGCCUGUUUGAGUGUCAUUAAAUUCUGUCAAAACAUGCACUUGAGUGUGUUUUGGAUUGUGGGAGUGUCUGCUGGCUUUAUAUGAGUCAGCUCUCCUGAAAGACAUUAGCUUUGGAGGGAUGUGCCAAGUCACUUCUGCCUUUCCAUUGGUGUGAUAGAUGAAUAAACUUAUCUACGCCAGGAAAGCAGGUUGCAGGUGAUGCACUGUGAUCUCUCUGCUCUCUAAUUGACAUUUGUCUGAUAACUUGACCUCAAAUCAGGUAGGACUACCCGCUGAACUUAAGCAUAUCAAUAAGCGGAGGA
RNAcentral lists this ribosomal RNA (679 nucleotides) under Amanita pantherina var. lutea. RNAcentral's name for it is "eukaryotic LSU rRNA". The stretch from base 240 to 393 matches the Rfam family "5.8S ribosomal RNA". Lineage: Eukaryota; Fungi; Basidiomycota; Agaricomycetes; Agaricales; Amanitaceae. The record is from RNAcentral.